Long non-coding RNA from Homo sapiens (human), 811 nucleotides. Lineage: Eukaryota; Metazoa; Chordata; Mammalia; Primates; Hominidae. The record is from Ensembl.
AGAUAUAUUUUGCUCCCAAACGCCGCCCUAGAAGAAGGACUACACUGAAAUGAAACGGAGAUGAUUAAAGUCUGAUUUAUAGGCUGUACAAGCCCUGAAAGCAAGAACGGGGUUCACGGCAUCUUGAUACCCCCAUGUGGGGACGUUUUGGCGAUUUUAUUUACAAGAAAGGGAUUUUACACCGGAGAGGCUUUUAAAUAUGCUAACAGACUGGACCAGCUUUCUCAUCCCCACUGGCUGAUUAAUGAUUCCUCCAUGCCAACCCGGUUCUCAGAGACACCAAGGCCAGCUCUCCAAAGACCUGGGAAAAAAUUACUUCAUGUCCUUGUAAAAACGUUUUCACAAAUUUAAGUGCACCAGCUUUGAAGCAAGACAGAAUUGGGAUCAAGUCCCUGUUCCACCCUUACCAGAAAGUCUUUUCGUAGCUCACAAGGGGACAUCAAAGAUGACAAAGAGGAGUGGAAGAAGACAGAGAGAAUCAAUGUGAGGAGCCUGGAACAGGGCUCUGAAUUGUCUUCCCACAGUGAAAUCACUUGUCUAUUGCUGAGCCAAGAAUUUGACUCUGAGCAUCUAGGAUGAGAAAGAAGAACUGGCACCUACGCCAUCUCUGCCCCUCGGGACUGACUAUUUUGGUAAGUUCAGUUCACCCAUGGAGGAAGUGGUUCUCGUACUUUAUCUGCAUGUAACAACAAAAUUCAGGUUCUUGGGGCUGAUGCUUGGAGAUUGUGAUUCAGAUCUGGGAUGGGGCUCAGGAACCUGCAUUUUAACAAUGGAGGUUCUAAUGUGGUCAUUGGCAGGUUGUUCUAAUGUG